RNAcentral lists this ribosomal RNA (253 nucleotides) under uncultured bacterium. RNAcentral's name for it is "partial 16S ribosomal RNA". It matches the Rfam family "Bacterial small subunit ribosomal RNA", at positions 524 to 776 of the family's 1533-position model. The record is from RNAcentral.
UACAGAGGGGGCAAGCGUUGUUCGGAAUUACUGGGCGUAAAGGGCGCGUAGGUGGCCUUCUAAGUUGAACGUGAAAUCCCUGGGCUCAACCCAGGAACUGCGUCCAAGACUGGGAGGCUUGAAUCCGGGAGAGGGAUGCGGAAUUCCAGGUGUAGCGGUGAAAUGCGUAGAUAUCUGGAGGAACACCGGUGGCGAAGGCGGCUCACUGGCCCGAUACUGACGCUGAGGUGCGAAAGCGUGGGGAGCAAACAGG